This 301-nucleotide ribosomal RNA is filed under the name uncultured bacterium. Its description in RNAcentral is "partial 16S ribosomal RNA". It matches the Rfam family "Bacterial small subunit ribosomal RNA", at positions 509 to 807 of the family's 1533-position model. The record is from RNAcentral.
CAGUAGCCGCGGGAAUACGUAGGUGGCAAGCGUUGUCCGGAAUUAUUGGGCGUAAAGGGCUCGCAGGCGGUUUCUUAAGUCUGAUGUGAAAGCCCCCGGCUCAACCGGGGAGGGUCAUUGGAAACUGGGAAACUUGAGUGCAGAAGAGGAGAGUGGAAUUCCACGUGUAGCGGUGAAAUGCGUAGAGACAUGGAGGAACACCAGUGGCGAAGGCGACUCUCUGGUCUGUAACUGACGCUGAGGAGCGAAAGCGUGGGGAGCGAACAGGAUUAGAUACCCCUGUAGUCCCUGUCUCUUAUAC